RNAcentral lists this ribosomal RNA (487 nucleotides) under uncultured bacterium. RNAcentral describes it as "partial 16S ribosomal RNA". It matches the Rfam family "Bacterial small subunit ribosomal RNA", at positions 28 to 507 of the family's 1533-position model. The record is from RNAcentral.
GAUGAACGCUAGCGAUAGGCUUAACACAUGCAAGUCGAGGGGCAGCACAAGGUAGCUUGCUAUCUGGGUGGCGACCGGCGCACGGGUGCGUAACGCGUAUGCAACUUGCCCUAUACAGGAGGAUAACCAGUCGAAAGACGGACUAAUACUGCGUAUGCUCACAACUUGGCAUCAAGUGGUGAGGAAAGAAAUUCGGUAUAGGAUAGGCAUGCGCCCCAUUAGCUUGUUGGCGAGGUAACGGCGCACCAAGGCAACGAUGGGUAGGGGAACUGAGAGGUUCAUCCCCCGCACGGGAACUGGGACACGGACCAGGCUCCUGCGGGACGCAGCAGUGAGGAAUAGUAGUCAAUGGGCGCGAGCCUGAACCAGCCAAGUCGCGUGAAGGAUGACUGUGUUAUGGAUUGUAAACUUCUUUUAUACGGGAAUAGCAAGAGUCACGUGUGACUCCCUGCAUGUACCGUAUGAAUAAGCAUCGGCUAACUCCGUG